AGUUCGAUCAUGGCUCAAGAUUGAACGCUGGCAGGAUGCCCCACAUACAGUCGAACGGCAGCCUGGACUUCUACGUGGUCUGGUGGCGAGUGGCGAACAGGUGGUAAUGUAUCGGAACGUGCCUAGUGGCGGAUAACUGCGCGAAAGCGUAGCUAAUACCACGCAUACGCCCUUCGGGGGAAAGCGGGGGACCUUCAGGCCUCGCACUGACCGACGGCCGAUAUCGGAUUAGCUAGUUGGUGGGGUAACGCAGCUCACCAAGGCGACGAUCCGUAGCUGGUUUGAAGGACGACCAAUACACUGGGACUGAGACGGCCCAGACUCCUACAGGAGGCAGCGGUGGGGAAUUUUGGACAAUGGGAAACCUGAUCCAGCCAUCGCGUGUGCGAUGAAGGCCUUCGGGUUGUAAAGCACUUUUGGCAGGAAAGAAACGGCACGGGAUAAUACCCCGUGCAGCAUGACAGUACCUGCAGAAUAGCGCGGCCCCAACUACGUACCUUGAAAACUAGCCGCGGUAAUACGUAAGUGCAAAGCGUGGCGAGAAAUCGGAAUUACUGGGCGUAAAGCGUGCGCAGGCGGUUCCGGAAAGAAGAUGUGAAAUCCCAAAGCUUAACUUUGAACUGGCACGCUACCGAGCUAGAAGACGGCCAAUGGGAGAUUGGAAUUCCGCGUGUAGCAGUGAAAUGCGUAGAUAUGCGGAGGAACACCGAUGGCGAAGGCAGGCAGCCUCCUGGGAUAACACUGGCGCUCAUGCACGAAAACUGAUGAGGUAAACAGAGUUAGAUACCCUGGUAGUCCACGCCCCUAAACGAUAUCAACUAGCUGUUGGAGCCUUCGGGCCUUGGUAGCGCAGCUAACGGCGUGAAGUUGACCGCCUACUGCGGAAGAUACGGUCGCAAGAUUAAAACUCGGAAUUGACGGGGACGCACAAGCGGUGGAUGAUGUGAAUUAAUUCGAUGCAACGCGAAAAACCUUGCCUACCCUUGACAUGGAAUCCCGAAGAGAUUUGGGAGUGCUCGCAAGAGAACCGGAACACAGGUUGCUGCAUGGCUGUCGUCAGCUCGUGUCGUGGAUGUUGGGUUAAGUCACAACAGGCGCAACCCUUGUCAUUAGUUGCUACGAGGCACUCUAAUGAGACUGCCGGUGACAAACCGGAGGAAGGUGGGAUAGGCGUCAAGUCCUCCUUGGCCCUUAUGGUGGGGCUUCACACGUCAUACAAUGGUCGGGAUUGAGGUCGCCAACCCGCGAGGGGCCAAUCCCAGAAACCCGAUCGUAGUCCGGAUCGCAGUCUGCAACUCGACUGCGUGAAGUCGGAAUCGCUAGUAAUAAUCGCGGAUCGGCAUGUCGCGGUGAAUACGUUCCCGGGUCUUGUACACACCGCCCGUCACACCAUGGGAGUGGGUUUUACCAAGUAGUUAGCCUAACCGUAAGGAGGGCGUUACCACGGUAGGAUUCAUGACUGGGGGUGAAGUCGUAACGGGUAGCUCUGUUACUACCAAUG
Molecule: ribosomal RNA, 1501 nt
Filed under: uncultured Bordetella sp.
Lineage: Bacteria; Pseudomonadati; Pseudomonadota; Betaproteobacteria; Burkholderiales; Alcaligenaceae
Description: partial 16S-23S ribosomal RNA intergenic spacer
Rfam family: Bacterial small subunit ribosomal RNA
Source: RNAcentral